RNAcentral lists this ribosomal RNA (254 nucleotides) under uncultured bacterium. RNAcentral's name for it is "partial 16S ribosomal RNA". It matches the Rfam family "Bacterial small subunit ribosomal RNA", at positions 524 to 776 of the family's 1533-position model. The record is from RNAcentral.
UACGGGGGGAGCAAGCGUUGUUCGGAUUUACUGGGCGUAAAGGGCGCGUAGGCGGCCACCGCAAGUCGGUUGUGAAAUCUCUGGGCUUAACCCAGAAAGGUCAACCGAUACUGCGGGGCUAGAGUGCAGAAGGGGCAACUGGAAUUCUCGGUGUAGCGGUGAAAUGCGUAGAUAUCGAGAGGAACACCUGCGGCGAAGGCGGGUUGCUGGGCUAACACUGACGCUGAAGCGCGAAAGCUAGGGGAGCGAACGGG